GGUCGGCCGGGCGGUCGCGUCGCGCGCAAGCGCGCCGAGGAACGUCCGGGCUCCGCAGGGCAGGGCGGUGGGUAACACCCACCCGGAGAGAUCCGCGAGAAAGUGCAGCAGAGAGCAGACCGCCGGCAUCCGUGCCGGUAAGGGUGAAACGGUGGUGUAAGAGACCACCAGGGGCCGUGGCGACACGGCUCGCUGGGUAAACCUCGCCCGGAGCAAGACCAACAGGGAACGCUGAGGCUGCCCGCCGAGUUCCCGGGUAGGUUGCUGGAGCGGCACGGCAACGUGUCGCCGAGAGAGAUGGCCGUCGAGGGGGAUCCGUCUCCCAGACAGAACCCGGCGUACAGGCCGGCCCA
Molecule: RNase P RNA, 353 nt
Filed under: Candidatus Microbacterium stercoravium
Lineage: Bacteria; Bacillati; Actinomycetota; Actinomycetes; Micrococcales; Microbacteriaceae
Description: Bacterial RNase P class A
Rfam family: Bacterial RNase P class A
About the family: Ribonuclease P (RNase P) is a ubiquitous endoribonuclease, found in archaea, bacteria and eukarya as well as chloroplasts and mitochondria. Its best characterised activity is the generation of mature 5'-ends of tRNAs by cleaving the 5'-leader elements of precursor-tRNAs. Cellular RNase Ps are ribonucleoproteins.
Source: RNAcentral